UUUGUGCGAGUGACAGCCAAAAGCGUUUAACGCUGUGGCUGAUGUGGGAGAUUGCAUUGGAUGGAUCACAUAUAGAGGGAUUUUAUAGCCAUGAGCCACUAAUGAUUAAUGUGUGCCAUCUUUUCUUUAUUCUUUCUUUUUUUUUCAUUCUAGAAGCUUUUGUGACAUUUUAUUGCAUCAUGUAUUCAUGUGUAUCUAAUCUUCUGUUGUUACUGCUAGAAAGUAUGAAGUAUAUAGUUAUACCUACCUGUUACAUCCUUACUUAAAUUAUGAAAUGAAAUGGGAAAGAAGAAACACGGUUAUAAUAUCACAUAAUAGAAAAGAAAAAAAAUUAGGAAUAAAAAUUUUAUAUAUGUGUUUUUAUCAC
This 367-nucleotide long non-coding RNA is filed under the name Oryza brachyantha (malo sina). Its description in RNAcentral is "long non-coding RNA (OBRA_LNC000392)". The record is from RNAcentral. Lineage: Eukaryota; Viridiplantae; Streptophyta; Magnoliopsida; Poales; Poaceae.